GAUGCAACAGGGACAGAAGUCGAUGCAGAAAUAUUCAGCGACCUCAUUGGACAAGGCAAUGUGGUGCUGACUGUUUUCUCAAAUGAUGGUGAGCUUUAUUGAAUGUUUAUGUUGUGUUAUCAAGCAACUCUGGAUAAAUAUGAUAAAUUGGCUAUUUCUGAUUCUUGUGCUGGUCAUCACAAUAUUUGUAAUAUUUUAAUACUUUAUUUAGAAUUUUAAGACUCUUUGUCUUCUAUAUCUGAGAAGUCUGAAAAAAGCAACAGUUCAAGUGCAUCGACUGUAAUCUUUCAUGAGUUCCCUAACAAGAAACAAAGAAAAGAGGACACAUCUGCACUGUCUGCAAAACAGGCAACUCCCUACUUAAGCUAUCAGAGAACAGUAUGCUCUUGGCAUAGUGAUAGUGUUCCCUCAAAGAUCCAUAUUCCAAGAAAGGCUACGAACACUUUUAUGAUGCUGCAAGCAACAUAGGAUACAUUGCUUGGCAUAUGAAAACAGUCCACAG
Carassius auratus (goldfish) is the source of this 502-nucleotide long non-coding RNA. RefSeq lists it as uncharacterized. The transcript is spliced from 3 exons. Lineage: Eukaryota; Metazoa; Chordata; Actinopteri; Cypriniformes; Cyprinidae. The record is from RefSeq and is a predicted model, not a curated record.